CCUACGGGGGGCAGCAGUAGGGAAUUUUCGUCAAUGGGCGCAAGCCUGAACGAGCAAUGCCGCGUGAACGAGGAAGGUCUUCGGAUCGUAAAGUUCUGUUGAAGGGGAAAAAGAGCGGAGAGAGGAAAUGGUCUCCGAUUGAUAUUACCCUUCGAGGAAGUCACGGCUAACUACGUGCCAGCAGCCGCGGUAAUACGUAGGUGGCGAGCUUUAUCCGGAAUGAUUGGGCGUAAAGGGUGCGUAGGCGGCCUGCUAAGUCUGGAGUGAAAGGUACCGGCUCAACCGGUACAGGCUCUGGAAACUGGCGGGUUAGAGAGCAGGAGAGGGCAGUGGAACUCCAUGUGUAGCGGUGAAAUGCGUAGAUAUAUGGAGGAACACCAGUGGCGAAGGCGGCCGCCUGGCCUGUUACUGACGCUGAGGCACGAAAGCGUGGGGAGCAAAUAGGAUUAGAUACCCGAGUAGUC
This 464-nucleotide ribosomal RNA is filed under the name uncultured bacterium. RNAcentral describes it as "partial 16S ribosomal RNA". It matches the Rfam family "Bacterial small subunit ribosomal RNA", at positions 338 to 795 of the family's 1533-position model. The record is from RNAcentral.